Non-coding RNA from Taeniopygia guttata (zebra finch), 1389 nucleotides. Lineage: Eukaryota; Metazoa; Chordata; Aves; Passeriformes; Estrildidae. The record is from RefSeq and is a predicted model, not a curated record.
GGGAGCAUGAAGGAGGGCCCAGGGCCAUUCCUGACCAAGGCUCCCCAGGGCCUCUUCCCAGCAGCUCCCUGAGGCCAGGAGUGCAGGGAGGCAGAGGCUCUGUGUAGGCAGCUCAGCUGCUGAGCAGAGCCUGGGCUGGCUGGAGGCAGCAGAAAGGCCAAGGCCUGAGCCCCAGCCCCAGGGAAGGCAGAUCCUGUCCCUCCCCGCCUGCUCAGGGCUCUGCCGGGAGCACUGGCAUAGGGAGGGAUGCUGAGGGCAGGACAAGGGAUGGCAGUGCCCAGCCUGGCUGGGGCUGUGCCAGGAGGCCCCAGUGCCUCAGGACAAGGUGUCUCCUCCUCACAGCCCUUGGUGGCAAGACGCUGCUGUGCCCCAGGGCACCAAGGCCUGGCUUCUCCUGGCCACUGCCAGCCUUGCCAGGGCCCUUGGCCAUGUCCAGCACAGCUUGUCCUGCGCUGUCCCACAGCUGCUGCUGUGUCCCUGCAGGCUGCACACUCCCAUCUCGCUGCCCCCCGGGCCCUGCCCUGCCAUUGCCAGCCCUGCCCUGCCCCUGCCAUGCCCAGGGCAUGUCUGCAAUUCCCCCAGGCAAUGGGUGGGGAUGGGCAAGUGUUCCUGAGGGCACAGGGAGGGGACAGCUGGGCUGGACUGACCCAAGGGAUCUCCCAUUCCAUGCAAUGUCAUGGUCAGCAAUAAACUGAGGGAAAGGAAGGGCAUAGGGCUGGCAGGGAGGGCUGUGGAGAUUUUUUACCAAGACAUUUCUCAUACAAAACACAAAGUACAUGUUCUUGAUCCGUUCCUACCAGAGGUGGCUGGACUGAUUGUCUGCUGAUGAGAAUCAGCAACAGAGGAUUGAUCUCAUUUGUUGUUUCUUUGCUUCCACCUGCGGCCUUUGCCUUUUGAGGCCCUUGCUGAGGAGGGUGUAGAAGCCCAGAAGAUCAGGACCUGGUCUGCAUGUCCCACACAUCAAAAACUGGAUGGCCGUGGGACCAACCAAGGAUUGGUGAGAACAGCCAAGACUUCUUGGCAAUAACACACUGUGAGGAAGAACAGACUGUGUCUGCAGAAGGGGCCAUGCAGAUAAAGGCAGAACUUUGCCAGGACAAACAUCCUUGCUCUGGCUCCUGGGCAUAAGCACGACAUGGCCCAAGUGCAGGAAUGAGAAGUGGGCACGGACUGUGGGGGGAUCAACACCACCAAAGACCCCCAAAGCCUCCGAGCCAUUUCCAGAAAGGUGUAGCAGAACUAACUGCACGUGUCUCGUUGGCUAAAUGUUUCCCCAAUUCCAGUUUGGUCUUAACCACUUGGUGUGCUCUGCAAUGCCUGAUGGCAACUUCCUCUGGUUUCUGGAUACUUUCAAGUAAACCUAAGAUUUGUUCUCCGUUUUUGAUCGGA